Molecule: transfer RNA, 73 nt
Filed under: Candidatus Pacearchaeota archaeon
Lineage: Archaea; Nanobdellati
Description: tRNA-Gln
Rfam family: tRNA
About the family: Transfer RNA (tRNA) molecules are approximately 80 nucleotides in length. Their secondary structure includes four short double-helical elements and three loops (D, anti-codon, and T loops).
Source: RNAcentral
AGCCCCGUAGUAUAGUGGUCAAGUAUCUCGCGCUCUGGCCGCGAGGGCCCAGGUUCGAAUCCUGGCGGGGCUA